GACGAACGCUGGCGGCGUGCUUAACACAUGCAAGUGGAGCGACGAACCAGGCUUCGGCCUGGGGCAGAGCCGCGAACGGGCGAGUAACACGUGGGUAACCUGCCCUGAUGAUCGGGACAACCCGGGGAACCCGGGCUAAUACCGAAUGUGCUGCCCUCGCAUCAGUGAGGGUAGGAAAGGAAGCUUCGGCCUCCGCAUCAGGAUGGGCCCGCGGCCCAUUAGCUUGUUGGGAGGUAACGGCUCACCAAGGCUUCGAUGGGUAGCUGGUCUGAGGAGGACGAUCAGCCACACUGGGACUGAGACACGGCCCAGACUCCUACGGGAGGCAGCAGUGGGGAAUCUUGCGCAAUGCGCGAAAGCGUGACGCAGCAACGCCGCGUGGGGGAAGAAGGCC
Molecule: ribosomal RNA, 394 nt
Filed under: uncultured bacterium
Lineage: Bacteria
Description: bacterial SSU rRNA
Rfam family: Bacterial small subunit ribosomal RNA
Source: RNAcentral